RNAcentral lists this ribosomal RNA (1036 nucleotides) under uncultured Acidisoma sp. RNAcentral describes it as "bacterial SSU rRNA". It matches the Rfam family "Bacterial small subunit ribosomal RNA", at positions 342 to 1395 of the family's 1533-position model. Lineage: Bacteria; Pseudomonadati; Pseudomonadota; Alphaproteobacteria; Acetobacterales; Acidocellaceae. The record is from RNAcentral.
CGGGAGGCAGCAGUGGGGAAUAUUGGACAAUGGGUGCAAGCCUGAUCCAGCAAUGCCGCGUGGGUGAAGAAGGUUUUCGGAUUGUAAAGCCCUUUUGGCGGGGACGAUGAUGACGGUACCUGCAGAAUAAGCCCCGGCUAACUUCGUGCCAGCAGCCGCGGUAAUACGAAGGGGGCUAGCGUUGCUCGGAAUGACUGGGCGUAAAGGGCGCGUAGGCGGCGAUCAAAGUCAGGCGUGAAAUUCCUGGGCUCAACCUGGGGGCUGCGCUUGAUACUUGGUUGCUUGAGUGGGGAAGAGGGUCGUGGAAUUCCCAGUGUAGAGGUGAAAUUCGUAGAUAUUGGGAAGAACACCGGUGGCGAAGGCGGCGACCUGGUCCUUGACUGACGCUGAGGCGCGAAAGCGUGGGGAGCAAACAGGAUUAGAUACCCUGGUAGUCCACGCCGUAAACGAUGUCGAUUUGGAGGUUGUGCCCUUGAGGCGUGGCUUCCGGAGCUAACGCGUUAAAUCGACCGCCUGGGGAGUACGGCCGCAAGGUUAAAACUCAAAUGAAUUGACGGGGGCCCGCACAAGCGGUGGAGCAUGUGGUUUAAUUCGAUGCAACGCGAAGAACCUUACCUACUCUUGACAUCCACGGAACUUGCCAGAGAUGGCUUAGUGCCUUCGGGAACCGUGAGACAGGUGCUGCAUGGCUGUCGUCAGCUCGUGUUGUGAAAUGUUGGGUUAAGUCCCGCAACGAGCGCAACCCUUAUCCUUUGUUGCCAGCACGUAAUGGUGGGAACUCAAAGGAGACUGCCGGUGAUAAACCGGAGGAAGGUGGGGAUGACGUCAAGUCAUCAUGGCCCUUACGAGUAGGGCUACACACGUGCUACAAUGGCGUAUACAAAGAGAAGCGACCUCGCGAGAGUCAGCGGACCUCAUAAAGUACGUCGUAGUCCGGAUUGGAGUCUGCAACUCGACUCCAUGAAGUCGGAAUCGCUAGUAAUCGUAGAUCAGAAUGCUACGGUGAAUACGUUCCCGGGCCUUGUACACACCGCCC